Non-coding RNA from Cordylochernes scorpioides, 73 nucleotides. The record is from the annotation of a GenBank genome assembly. NCBI's taxonomy places the organism in Eukaryota, Metazoa, Arthropoda, Arachnida, Pseudoscorpiones, Chernetidae.
GUCCAGGGGUGGGAAUCGAACCCACAACCUUCUGCUUACCGGGCAGGUGCCAUGUCCACUAGGCUACCCUGGA